CAUAGCAAAAGUUUGGAGCUUUGUCUGCUGAAAGUCAGUUUUGAAACAAUUGAAUGAAAGGAGAGCUACUGACUGAUAUCAUAAGCUACAGUAGGGAACGUAGUGAUUAAACGUUUAGCCGGUGUAGUAGAGACGAAAUCCAUACCUCAGAGGUUGCCAGCUAAACCAGUUGAACAAUAUUUCAUCACAAAUGAACAAAUUGCUCCAAGAUACAUACAGUUCGAGCUCAUAUGAUUUUCUUCCUCCAAAGAGUAGUCGAAGAUUGAGAGCAUUCCUGCUAUCAAGAAACCUGUUAUCAAGAAGCCUGAUAUCAAAAAACCUGAUAUCAAGACAUGCAGCACUGUCAAAUCGCUCCAGUACCUUGGUCGAGUGAAAUCGUUUCUGCUCAGAUGUCCGCUGGAGUACUUCGUCCGCUGGAGUACUUCGUCCGCUGGAGUACUUCGUCCGCUGGAGUACUUCGUAAUGUUGUUCUGAGGAUGAACAAAGCAUAGUGAUGAGAGAGGGCUAUUAAUGUGUGGGAUUUCUGCUGCUUUGUUACAGUCAUCUGACUUUUUCAUUUUUACUCGGUGACUUU
Molecule: long non-coding RNA, 574 nt
Organism: Bolinopsis microptera
Lineage: Eukaryota; Metazoa; Ctenophora; Tentaculata; Lobata; Bolinopsidae
Exons: 6
Source: RefSeq, a predicted model, not a curated record